This 2218-nucleotide long non-coding RNA is filed under the name Homo sapiens (human). RNAcentral describes it as "novel transcript". The record is from RNAcentral. Lineage: Eukaryota; Metazoa; Chordata; Mammalia; Primates; Hominidae.
GGCUGAGUUGGCAGCCAAGGAGAACUCGCCAACCUCGCUGUGCUGCCAAGACCUGACUUGACACUACUGCUCCCCUUUGCCCGUUACCCGUGAAAGCUUUGCUCCACAGCGCCCCCUGCAGGGGGCUGGCAGGGCAGCUGGCUGCCUGCCCUUGGCCCGUUCCUUGGCUGCCCCGGCUUCUGCACUUACCCUUGGUCCUGGACCAACUCCAAGAAUUCAGUGACUUUACACUGGCUUUUCUUAGAGCCUCUUGGAGACAACAUCCUAAGAUACUGCAGACCCUGUGUUUUGUUUUUGGUUUUGAAGGCCCUCUGAGGGCCCUCAAAUGGACCCUGAGGAAAUGGAUACCUGAGCAGGACAAGGACCUUGGAGUCACAGAGGUUCUCGAUAAUUAGAGAAAGGGGCCUGAUGAUACUGGGGGUGCACAGAUCACAUUUAGGUCCUUGAGGGUCAAUGGAGGCCUCUCUUCUGUCGUGCCCAAGUCUGGGCCUCUGCAGAGAGACCUCCAUGCCCAGAAAUCAGAAGUCAGAUUGAACAAGAAAUCCCAGCCUUUCUAGGUGAGCUCCUGCCCCCAAAAUGCUGUCUCCAGCUCACACAGCACCACAGGAGGUUUCCCGCCACUGAAGAGGAGGAGGGGGCCAGCCUCAUUCCUCUCCCGGCUGCCCCUCCGGAGCUCAAAGACAGUGAGUGAGGAGGGACCCUGGUCUCCCUCUUUGGCUACAGAGGUUUCCCAGAGGAAGAUCUGGAGUGAAAAGGCAGCAGAUGCAACACAAGGGCAGAAACUCACCUCCAAGAAUGGCUCCCUCGCAUCCACAGUACUGGCCCCUUCGAUGCAAGUUUCCUCUGCUGCCAUGCAGGCGAGGGGAGCCUCUGACGCUGUACCUCCCUCCCAGCUGGGGUUCCGACUCACGGCUGAAGACCUGGACCUGGAGAAGGAAACAGUGCUGCUAUGCAUCAAAAGUGCAUUGUGGGGUGAGGCCAAGGCCAUCCGGGACUGGGGAGCCUUGCAGCCUUCCCAUAUUUUGCCACCACCUGCGGCAGCAAUGGCUCCUCUGCCCACUGCCUCUCCAGACCCCCUCCACCCUCUGGGACUAAUGCACAGGAGGAGGGACGCAGGACGCAAGACUGCCCAGGCCCAGUAGCCCUCCUGGAAUCUGCUGCAGUGGCUACCUCUAUGCCUCCUGUGUCUGGGAGGAAGCACAGCUCACCAGGGCCCCUGUUCUCCCCCUUAGAGCUCCAUCCAGUCACCUCUUCAUACUUCCUGGUCUCAGCCUUGCUGACCCUGCUCCCUCCUCAUCAUCAGGCAGAUACAGAGCACUGCAGCAAAAAAGAGAGGGGUCCCAAGCACCACACACUUCGUGGGGGAAGCUUGGGCCUGAACAGCAGUAGUCCCUGUAGCCAGAGCACCCAAACCAUGGGACCCAGCGCCAGGAAUAAUUGUUCGCAGGCACUGUUGCCCAUGCUUUUUAAGCCACAUCCCUAGAGGGCUACCCAAGCAGAAACCCCACAUUUCAAGUUGGGGGCCUAAUACCACUUGCAAGCAAGGCUGCCCCUAGGUGCAUGCCUGCGCCAGCCUCUGACCCUAGGAACCGUACUUCCCAUGUGGGCACAGAAAGGCAGAACCUCACCUUUAGGUCUCCCUCAUCCCCUGUCCAGGGUUCUGCAGGGCCUUCCUCCUCCAGGUUGGGUUCCACUCCCUUGGGGUCCAAGAGGGAAAUGCUGGUCUGAGAGGAGAACUUCCUGGAGCCAGUGCCCACCCAUCCCCCCAGGCUGGACUUUGUGUGAGCCUGUUUAGUUGGGAAAUGCAAGGCUAGCCCCUACCUCUGCCAUCCUGGAGGGCUAGAGAUAUAGCAUUCCAGUCCCACCCCUUCCCUCGAAGCUUUAGUCUGAAAGUAGGUAGUUUGAGGCUCUUAAAUUGUCCUAUCCCAGUGGUCAGAGUCCUCAUAGCAAUAGACAGAGGUAGCAUUCCAGUCCCACCCCUUCCCUGAAGAUUUAGUCUGAAAGUAGGUGGUGUGAGGCUCUUCAAUUGUCUUAUCCCAGUGGUCAGAGUCCUCAUAGCAAUAGACAGAGGGCCCUUGGUUUAUUUCACUCCAGUCCUGAAGCAGGUGGGAUACUCCCUGCUGCCUACAGUUGACUCUCCUCUCCCGUUUUUUCCCCCAGAACCCUUGUGUGUCUUCUGUGUAACUUAUAAUAAAGCUUUGUUAUUGCUUCUGUACAA